Molecule: ribosomal RNA, 529 nt
Filed under: uncultured cyanobacterium
Lineage: Bacteria; Bacillati; Cyanobacteriota
Description: bacterial SSU rRNA
Rfam family: Bacterial small subunit ribosomal RNA
Source: RNAcentral
UGGGGAAUUUUCCGCAAUGGGGGCAACCCUGACGGAGCAAGACCGCGUGAGGGAGGAAGGCCUACUGGUUGUAAACCUCUUUUGAUAGGGAAGAACGAAAUGACGGUACCUAUCGAAUCAGCACCGGCUAACUCCGUGCCAGCAGCCGCGGUAAUACGGAGGGUGCAAGCGUUAUCCGGAAUUAUUGGGCGUAAAGCGUCCGUAGGUGGUUAAUCAAGUCAGUUGUUAAAGCGUGGAGCUAAACUCCAUAAGGGCAAUUGAAACUGGUUGGCUAGAGUGCGAUAGGGGCAAGGGGAAUUCCCAGUGUAGCGGUGAAAUGCGUAGAUAUUGGGAAGAACAUCGGUGGCGAAAGCGCCUUGCUGGGUCUGCACUGACACUGAGGGACGAAAGCUAGGGGAGCGAAAGGGAUUAGAUACCCCUGUAGUCCUAGCUGUAAACGAUGGGUACUAGGCGUUGUCCGUAUCGACCCGGGCAGUGCCGUAGCUAACGCGUUAAGUACCCCGCCUGGGGAGUACGCUCGCAAGAGUAG